Molecule: non-coding RNA, 742 nt
Organism: Callithrix jacchus (white-tufted-ear marmoset)
Lineage: Eukaryota; Metazoa; Chordata; Mammalia; Primates; Cebidae
Source: RefSeq, a predicted model, not a curated record
AUGCCGGCCGCAAAGCCCCAUCUCCGUCUGGAUGUCCUCCUGGUGGAGCCGCCUUCUUCACCGAUGCUGCCCUGUAGCUGUGCAUUGAGGGCACCAUGCGGCCCGGCGGCAGGUCCCACAGCCACGGAGAGGACCAGGCAGGCGGCGGGGAGAGCCCGGAGAGCCCGGCUCGGCUCGUGGUCAGCUCCAAGUAAGCAAAGCCCCGAUCAGCCCUGAAAUGUCCAUUAAACAAAAAGAAAAGGAAAAUGCUUAUUUGAAAGAAUUCUUCUCUUUGGCAAUGCUGAGACAUUCUCCUAGUCUCAGCCCCACAGAGCUCCAGUGUGUGACAGACAACAGCUGAUGGGGAAGUUCCGCGUGUCCGUCCUAACCAGGGCUAGAGGCGAUGACUGUCUGUGGCGGCUGGGAAAGCCUCCUCCUUGUGGCUGCAGCCACUGCUGAAGGGGCUCCACCUGGCACUUGUGCCACCAAAGGCCCCUGAACGGGCGUCUAGGCCCACCCUUAAUAUCCAGGCCCACCCUUAAUAAAGAAAGAUGUGCUGCUCAUCCUCAGUUCCAAACCUUGUUUGUCCCUCCUCCCCGACCCCCGUAUGUUCUGGGGGAGAUCCCUCCACUGUCAGACAAAGACUUCAGAACCACAGCAGUCAUCGCAUCGAGCGCCAGCGGUGUCUGUGUGUGCUUUUCCUUCUGUCAGUGCCCUCUGGCUCAGUCCAGUGCCCAGCGCUUACAACUGGGAAAAACACACA